Molecule: non-coding RNA, 549 nt
Organism: Odobenus rosmarus divergens (Pacific walrus)
Lineage: Eukaryota; Metazoa; Chordata; Mammalia; Carnivora; Odobenidae
Source: the annotation of a RefSeq genome assembly
AUGGCGUGGACCCCUCUCCUCCUCGGAUUUUUGGCUCACUGCACAGGCUCCAUGGCCUCCUACGUGCUGACUCAGCCCUCCUCGAUGUCGGUGAACCUGGGACAGACGGCCAGCAUCACCUGUCGGGGAGACAACAUUGGGAAUAAAUAUACUUCCUGGCACCAGCAGAAGCCAGGCCAGGCCCCCGUGACGAUUAUCUAUAAGGAUAACAAGCGGCCCUCAGGGAUCCCUGACCGAUUCUCAGGCUCCAACUCGGGGAACACGGCCACCCUGACCAUCAGCGGGGCCCGGGCCGAGGACGAGGCUGACUAUUACUGUCUGGCGGGGGCCAGCAGUGCUGAUGCUCACGGUGACACAGGCACAUGGGGAAGUGAGACACAAACCCCUUCCCCGUCUGUGUCACACUCUCCUCCAGCCCCAGGAGGCCUGUGCACAGAGCCAGGAGCAGCUCUGACCCUGGUCCCCUCAUCUGAGAUCCCCAGGCCUCCCCCCCAUCCAGCCCUCCAGGCAGCUCUGCACACGGAGGGUCAGGAGAGCAUUUACAGCUGA